UACAGAGAGGGCAAGCGUUAAUCGGAAUCACUGGGCGUAAAGCGCGCGUAGGUGGAUAUUUAAGUCAGAUGUGAAAGCCCUGGGCUUAACCUAGGAACUGCAUCUGAUACUGGAUAACUAGAGUAUGGUAGAGGGAAGUGGAAUUUCCGGUGUAGCGGUGAAAUGCGUAGAUACCGGAAGGAACACCAGUGGCGAAGGCGACUUCCUGGACCAAUACUGACACUUAGGUGGGAAAGCGUGGGGAGCAAACAGG
RNAcentral lists this ribosomal RNA (253 nucleotides) under uncultured bacterium. RNAcentral's name for it is "partial 16S ribosomal RNA". It matches the Rfam family "Bacterial small subunit ribosomal RNA", at positions 524 to 776 of the family's 1533-position model. The record is from RNAcentral.